RNAcentral lists this ribosomal RNA (415 nucleotides) under uncultured bacterium. RNAcentral's name for it is "bacterial SSU rRNA". It matches the Rfam family "Bacterial small subunit ribosomal RNA", at positions 76 to 512 of the family's 1533-position model. The record is from RNAcentral.
GGCUUCGGCCCUAGUGGCGAACGGUCGCGUAACACGUGGGCAACCUGCCCUGAAGCGGGGGAUAACAGUCCGAAAGGACUGCUAAUACCGCAUGUGGACCGAGGAGGCAUCUCCUCUGUCUAAAGGAGUAAUCCACUUCAGGAUGGGCCCGCGGCCUAUCAGCUAGUUGGUGGGGUAACGGCCUACCAAGGCUUCGACGGGUAGCUGGUCUGAGAGGACGACCAGCCGGAUUGGGACUGAGAUACGGCCCAGACUCCUACGGGGGGCAGCAAUUAGGAAUCUUGCGCAAUGGGGGAAACCCUGACGCAGCGACGCCGCGUGGAGGAUGACGUUCUUCGGAAUGUAAACUUCUUUUCUCAGGGAAGAAAAAAAUGACGGUACCUGAGGAAUAAGCCCCGGCUAACUACGUGCCAGC